RNAcentral lists this ribosomal RNA (253 nucleotides) under uncultured bacterium. RNAcentral's name for it is "partial 16S ribosomal RNA". It matches the Rfam family "Bacterial small subunit ribosomal RNA", at positions 524 to 776 of the family's 1533-position model. The record is from RNAcentral.
UACGGAGGGGGCUAGCGUUGUUCGGAAUUACUGGGCGUAAAGCGCACGUAGGCGGCUUUGUAAGUUAGAGGUGAAAGCCCGGGGCUCAACUCCGGAAUUGCCUUUAAGACUGCAUCGCUAGAAUUGUGGAGAGGUAAGUGGAAUUCCGAGUGUAGAGGUGAAAUUCGUAGAUAUUCGGAAGAACACCAGUGGCGAAGGCGGCUUGCCAGAACGCGCUCGACGGUGAGGGAUGAAAGCUGGGGGAGCAAACCGG